RNAcentral lists this ribosomal RNA (325 nucleotides) under uncultured eukaryote. RNAcentral's name for it is "partial 18S ribosomal RNA". It matches the Rfam family "Eukaryotic small subunit ribosomal RNA", at positions 1470 to 1796 of the family's 1831-position model. The record is from RNAcentral.
CCCUUAGAUGUUCUGGGCCACACGCGCGCUACAAUGACAAAGUCAACGAGUAUUUGUUCCUUGCUCGGAAGAGUGUGGGUAAUCUUGUAAAUCUUUGUCGUGAUGGGGCUAGAGUUUUGUAAUUAUUACUCUUCAACGAGGAAUCUCUAGUAUGUGCAAGUCAUUAGCUUGCGCAGAAUGCGUCCCUGGAUUUUGUACACACCGCCCGUCGCACCUACCGAUUGGAUGUCUCCACGAGGUGUUUGGAGAUGACUUGAUUCGCUUGCGUUUCUUGUUGUCGAAAUCCCCCGAAUGGCUAUAUCUAGAGGAAGGUGAAGUCGUAACA